GACAAUUCCAUCAAUUAGCUAGCAUUCAUCUUCUCGUUCUCUAAUCUCAGUAACAAAAGGAAUUUUUGGAUCGUAAACUCUGAAAACUCCGAAUCUUCAUAAUGUCAGAUAAAGUUAGGAGACAAAGGUUGGGAAAGCAAAGUUUAGCACACAGCUCAGCAUGUAGAGAGCGUGCGGUAUAAGCUGGUAUCCCAAAACGCGGUAAGGGGAAACAAGCUCCUUCAACUUCAGAGGCUCAACAUGAGCUUGAACACGAGCAUGAACAAGUGGAUGAAGCUCAACAUGAGUCUGAACACGAGCCUCAACACAUGGACGAAGUUGAAGAAGAGGCUGGCAUGAAAAUGACCAGGACUGUUAUGUGAUUGAGAUAAGUUAUAUCAUAUCAUUCAUAAAUUAAGGUUACAGACUUAGAAUUUUAGAAUUUUAGAAUGCAUUAUGACAAGAUAUGUUAGUUUCUGCAUAACUUCAGGAGGUGCAGAUUGUCCCACAAGUGAAACUAGCUUAUCAAAUGAAUUAAAUGAAUUUUACUUUUUGGAAUUUUGAUUUUUUCUGUGAUGACCUGCAUUAAUAUUAGUUGUAUUGGAGGUUCUUGUGUUUUUUGCAGCAUGCAUCUUUCUAUGAUAGGUGCUGAUAUCUUGGUAUUCUUGCUUAGUUUUUUAGCCUAUUGUAUUAGAUAAAGGUAGUAUUGGAGUUUAAAUGUUGUUAGCUAUCGAUAUCCAUAUACACUGAACAAGUGCUUGAUUUGAAUUUUGUAGUGUACCGACCGGUAUCUCAGGUGCAUUUCAACAAAUUGCUAUAUAUUUGUGUUCUGCCUUUCAAAGUAUUCACUUAUCAUGCUUAUAUUUAUCUUUAUGCCUUUCAAAGUAUUCACUUAUUAUGCAUGUGAAUAUUGUUCGUGCCAGAACUAGCAAAUGAUAUCUCCAAUCCUGUUUGCAACAUUGCAAGGAACCAAAAUGAUUUUAAGGGCAAAUUGGUCAAGAUGGGGGGCCUGGAUGUAUUAUAGGGGGGCCUAAAAAGCAAUUUUCAUGAUUGCUAAACAAGCUUGGAAUUUUGUGUCAAUACUUUGGUGGCUAGAAUAUACUAAGGGUCCUAUUGGCUUGCUUUUUUUGAGCUUAUGCAAAUAGCUUAUGCAAUAUAAAUUAAGUU
Trifolium pratense (red clover) is the source of this 1146-nucleotide long non-coding RNA. RefSeq lists it as uncharacterized. The record is from RefSeq and is a predicted model, not a curated record. The transcript is spliced from 3 exons. Lineage: Eukaryota; Viridiplantae; Streptophyta; Magnoliopsida; Fabales; Fabaceae.